Molecule: ribosomal RNA, 232 nt
Filed under: uncultured bacterium
Lineage: Bacteria
Description: partial 16S ribosomal RNA
Rfam family: Bacterial small subunit ribosomal RNA
Source: RNAcentral
GAUCAUGGCUCAGGACGAACGCUGGCGGCGUGCUUAACACAUGCAAGUCGAACGGAGCACCCUUGAUUGAGGUUUCGGCCAAAUGAUAGGAAUGCUUAGUGGCUGACUGGUGAGUAACGCGUGAGGAACCUGCCUUUCAGAGGGGGACAACAGUUGGAAACGACUGCUAAUACCGCAUGACGCAUUUUGAUCGCAUGGUCGAAAUGCCAAAAGAUUUAUCGCUGAAAUAUGG